UAGGGAAUCUUCGGCAAUGGACGAAAGUCUGACCGAGCAACGCCGCGUGAGUGAAGAAGGUUUUCGGAUCGUAAAACUCUGUUGUUAGAGAAGAACAAGGACGUUAGUAACUGAACGUCCCCUGACGGUAUCUAACCAGAAAGCCACGGCUAACUACGUGCCAGCAGCCGCGGUAAUACGUAGGUGGCAAGCGUUGUCCGGAUUUAUUGGGCGUAAAGCGAGCGCAGGCGGUUUCUUAAGUCUGAUGUGAAAGCCCCCGGCUCAACCGGGGAGGGUCAUUUGAAACUGGGAGUCUUGAGUGCAGAAGAGGAGAGUGGAAUUCCAUGUGUAGCGGUGAAAUGCGUAGAUAUAUGGAGGAACACCAGUGGCGAAGGCGGCUCUCUGGUCUGUAACUGACGCUGAGGCUCGAAAGCGUGGGGAGCAAACAGG
Molecule: ribosomal RNA, 429 nt
Filed under: Gemmatimonadota bacterium
Lineage: Bacteria; Pseudomonadati; Gemmatimonadota
Description: Gemmatimonadetes bacterium partial 16S ribosomal RNA
Rfam family: Bacterial small subunit ribosomal RNA
Source: RNAcentral